GACGAACGCUGGCGGCGUGCCUAAUACAUGCAAGUAGAACGCUGAAGCUUGGUGCUUGCACCGAGCGGAUGAGUUGCGAACGGGUGAGUAACGCGUAGGUAACCUGCCUGGUAGCGGGGGAUAACUAUUGGAAACGAUAGCUAAUACCGCAUAAGAGUAGAUGUUGCAUGACAUUUGUUUAAAAGGUGCAAUUGCUUCACUACCAGAUGGACCUGCGUUGUAUUAGCUAGUUGGUGAGGUAACGGCUCACCAAGGCAACGAUACAUAGCCGACCUGAGAGGGUGAGCGGCCACACUGGGACUGAGACACGGCCCAGACGCCUACGGGAGGCAGCAGUAGGGAAUCUUCGGCAAUGGGCGGAAGUCUGACCGAGCAACGCCGCGUGAGUGAAGAAGGGUUUCGGAUCGUAAAGCUCUGUUGUAAGAGAAGAACGAGUGUGAGAGUGGAAAGUUCACACUGUGACGGUAGCUUACCAGAAAGGGACGGCUAACUACGUG
This 497-nucleotide ribosomal RNA is filed under the name uncultured bacterium. RNAcentral's name for it is "partial 16S ribosomal RNA". It matches the Rfam family "Bacterial small subunit ribosomal RNA", at positions 28 to 507 of the family's 1533-position model. The record is from RNAcentral.